AAGCUGUUUGCUUGAGCAUUUAAGGAUAACAGAGACCUGUCACAGAGCUGCUACAAUGAUUUAUUAAAAGACAGAGGGAAAUGAGAGAAAAAGGUCCUUGCUCACUUCUCGCACCAGCUGCCUUUCUUUCUUUCUUACAUGUUUUCCUUUCUCUCUUUCUUUCUCUCUCUUUCUUUUUUCUCUCUUUCUUUCUUUCUCUCUCUUUUUCUCUUUCUUUUUUCUCUCUUUCUCCUUUCUUUCUCUCUUUCUCUCUUU
Molecule: long non-coding RNA, 255 nt
Filed under: Monodelphis domestica (gray short-tailed opossum)
Lineage: Eukaryota; Metazoa; Chordata; Mammalia; Didelphimorphia; Didelphidae
Description: lncRNA (ENSMODG00000048185.1)
Source: RNAcentral